This 253-nucleotide ribosomal RNA is filed under the name uncultured bacterium. Its description in RNAcentral is "partial 16S ribosomal RNA". It matches the Rfam family "Bacterial small subunit ribosomal RNA", at positions 524 to 776 of the family's 1533-position model. The record is from RNAcentral.
UACGUAGGGGGCUAGCGUUGUCCGGAAUCAUUGGGCGUAAAGCGCGUGUAGGCGGCCCGGUAAGUCCGCUGUGAAAGUCGGGGGCUCAACCUGGGAAUUGCAUUCGAGACUGCAUUGCUGGAGUACGGAAGAGGAAGGCGGAAUUCCCGGUGUAGCGGUGAAAUGCGUAGAUAUCGGGAGGAACAUCAGUGGCGAAGGCGGCCUUCUGGUCCAGUACUGACACUCAAGUGCGAAAGCGUGGGGAGCAAACAGG